AUUGAACGCUGGCGGCAGGCCUAACACAUGCAAGUCGAGCGGAUGAAGGGAGCUUGCUCCUGGAUUCAGCGGCGGACGGGUGAGUAAUGCCUAUGAAUCUGCCUGGGAGUGGGGGAUAACGUCCGGAAACGGGCGCUAAUACCGCAUACGCCUUGAGGGAGAAAGUGGGGGAUCUUCGGACCUCACGCUCUCAGAUGAGCCUAGGUCGGAUUAGCUAGUUGGUGGGGUAAAGGCCUACCAAGGCGACGAUCCGUAACUGGUCUGAGAGGAUGAUCAGUCACACUGGAACUGAGACACGGUCCAGACUCCUACGGGAGGCAGCAGUGGGGAAUAUUGGACAAAGGGCGAAAGCCUGAUGCAGCCAUGCCGCGUGUGUGAAGAAGGUCUUCGGAUUGUAAAGCACUUUAAGUUGGGAGGAAGGGAAGUAAGUUAAUACCUUGCUGUAUUGACGUUACCAACAGAAUAAGCACCGGCUAACUUCGUG
RNAcentral lists this ribosomal RNA (484 nucleotides) under uncultured bacterium. RNAcentral's name for it is "partial 16S ribosomal RNA". It matches the Rfam family "Bacterial small subunit ribosomal RNA", at positions 30 to 507 of the family's 1533-position model. The record is from RNAcentral.